GCGCCCGUAGCUCAGGUGGAUAGAGCAGCGGUUUCCUAAACCGCAGGUCACAGGUUCGAAUCCUGUCGGGCGCA
This 74-nucleotide transfer RNA is filed under the name Isosphaeraceae bacterium. Its description in RNAcentral is "tRNA-Arg". It matches the Rfam family "tRNA". Rfam says of the family: Transfer RNA (tRNA) molecules are approximately 80 nucleotides in length. Their secondary structure includes four short double-helical elements and three loops (D, anti-codon, and T loops). The record is from RNAcentral. Lineage: Bacteria; Pseudomonadati; Planctomycetota; Planctomycetia; Isosphaerales; Isosphaeraceae.